GAAAGUGUUAAUUGUGUAUUUAUUAAACUAUAUGGUGGCCAUUUGUGUGAUGUUUGGCUUGAGGGUCUGUCAUAAAACGCGCACCUUAUUACCAUGCUAAAAAAUGUUAAAUGCCAUUUAGUGCUAGACAAAGAUGGCCCCCAGAGCCCAGAGCCAGAGCCACUGAAGCGGCGCAAUAGCACCAACAAUAGCGUGUUGUUGGUGUUACUGUUAUUGCCCUCGUCAUUGCUAUACGUCUUCAUGCUGCGUCCCGUUGCGAAGGUCAGCUUGUUGUUGCGUUUCUUAGUUUUGUUUACACAAACGCCUGUUGGCAGUUGUUGUUUUUGCUCUUUGCGAAUCGCAGGCCAAAACCGAACUGUGCUAAUUGUGUGUGUCACUGAAAUGAAGUUAACCGAGUUAAACAGGUCGUCUGGAGUGCACGCACGUAGCUAUUUAACCAUUAAGUGUAGCAGCCGAUAGCCAACAACCGCCCACAGCCCUAUUUGACCUUAUCGAGUAUCGGUCAGCAGAUACGCCACUCAUUCAGUGAUGCUGUGAAAACACCUCGUUGCAAACCACCUAAGAUUAUGGCCGGCUUAAAAAUG
Drosophila navojoa is the source of this 584-nucleotide long non-coding RNA. NCBI's taxonomy places the organism in Eukaryota, Metazoa, Arthropoda, Insecta, Diptera, Drosophilidae. The record is from RefSeq and is a predicted model, not a curated record.